This 915-nucleotide long non-coding RNA is filed under the name Mytilus galloprovincialis (Mediterranean mussel). The record is from RNAcentral. Lineage: Eukaryota; Metazoa; Mollusca; Bivalvia; Mytilida; Mytilidae.
AUAUUUUGACCUCUGAAAAUGAGUGCAAAUAGGUUAUAUGGAAAUAUAGGGAAAAUGGACAAAAAAACAAUUUGAUUGAAUUUUCAAAGCAAAAUAAAUGACAGAAGUUGCUUAUUUUUUCAUAAUGUAAAGCUUGAUGUCUCUAUUUUAUAAAAUUGAAAUAAAAUUUGGGGGUCACCGGCCAUCCAAGAGAUUUUUUUACCUCUGAAAAUGAGUGCAAAUAGGCUAAAUAUAGGGAAAACAGACAUAAAAUAUCUUUGAUUGAAUUUUCAGAGCAAAAUAAAUGACAGAAGUUGCUAAUUUUUUCAAACUGUAAAGCUUGAUGUCUCUAUUUUAUAAAAUUGAAAUAAAAUUUGGGGGUCACCGGCCAUCCAAGAGAUUUUUUGACCUCUGAAAAUGAGUGCAAUUAGGCUGAAUAUAGGGAAAACAGGCAUAAAAUAUCUUACAUUGAAUUUUGAGAGCAAAAUAAAUGACAGAAGUUGCUCAUUUUUUCAUACUGUAAAGCUUGAUGUCUCUAUUUUAUAAAAUUGAAAUAAAAUUUGGGGGUCACCGGCCAUCCAAGAGAUUUUUUGACCUCUGAAAAUGAGUGCAAAUAGGCUAAAUAUAGGGAAAACAGGCAUAAAAAUAUCUUUGAUUGAAUUUUCAGAGCAAAAUAAAUGACAGAAGUUGCUCAUUAUUUCAUAAUGUAAAGUUUGAUGUCUUUAUUUUAUAAGAUUGAAAUAAAAUUUGGGGGUCACCAGCCAUCCAAGAGAUUUUUUGACCUCUGAAAAUGAGUGCAAAUAGGCUAAAUAUAGGGAAAACAGGCAUACAAUAUCUUUGAUUGAAUUUUCAGAGCAAAAUAAAUGACAGAAGUUGCUCAUUAUUUCAUACUGUAAAGUUUGAUCUCUUUAUUUUAUAAGAUUGAAAUAAAAUUUG